CCAGAAGAAUCUUCUCCACUUCCUGGCUCAUCGCACGCGCCUCCAUGCGCAGACGCAUCGCCUCGUCCAAACCAUCACCCACGGGCCGCAGGAGUAUCCACCCAUCCAUGACUCCCUGGGGAGCAGGUGCCACAUUCCUGAGCACACAGGACAUGGAGAAGACACUGCUUUAUCAGCACUGGAAAUUGUUGCUGACCCUUCUUCAACAGCAAAAGCUCACUCUGGGCGUCAGAUCCGAAGAUGAAGAGGCCAUGGCAAGGAGCCUGGAACUAGAGACUCCUGUUACCACAUGGACACCAAAUGCCCUCCCUUUCUGAGAGAGUCCAAUCCCUCUGGGAGCUUCACCCUGUGCAAAGUGGCCAAUAAAUGGCAUCUUGAUCAAA
This is a long non-coding RNA of Corvus hawaiiensis (hawaiian crow), 383 nucleotides long. RefSeq lists it as uncharacterized. The transcript is spliced from 2 exons. The record is from RefSeq and is a predicted model, not a curated record. NCBI's taxonomy places the organism in Eukaryota, Metazoa, Chordata, Aves, Passeriformes, Corvidae.